GCCAAAUCAUUCUUGAAUUCCUGGGUAUAUUCCUGCAAAAACAUGCAAUAAUUAUAAACAAAAUUAUACAUAUUCUACAAUAAUUAUAAACCCAAUGCCCAACCCCAUCACUCCGUCUCCCUGUCAGGUGCACAAAUCAGCAUAAAUUUGUUGUCCUGGUGCACAAACCCUAAGAAUUCAGGGAUCCCUCAGAAAACCUCAUCCCAAUAGCAUGCUGUUUAGAAUUAUUUCCUAUAUUAGACAACCCUUCAGAUAAAUUUUUAUCCAAAAUUUUAAUAAUACACCCUUUCAAUAAUUACGUCAUUUGGCCUGGGAGCCUUGCACUCAUAAAUCGAGAUCCAGGGCUCCAAGAGCAAAAUGUAUGUGUGACGUAAAUAUCGAAAGGGUGUAUUUACAGGUUACCCUUAAGAAUUUGGUUAAAAUUCAGGCAAUCCCUCAGAAAACCUCAUCCCCAAUAGCAUGCUGUUCAGAAUUAUUUCCUAUUUUAGACAACCCUUCGGAUAAAUUUUUAUAAAAAAAUUUGGUAAUACAUCCUUUCAAUAAUUACAUCAUUUGACCUGGGUGCCUUACACUCAUGGAUUGUGAGCUGGGACUCCAAGAGCAAAAAGUAUGUGUGACGUAGUAAUCGAAAGGGUGUAUUUACA
Molecule: non-coding RNA, 644 nt
Organism: Paramuricea clavata
Lineage: Eukaryota; Metazoa; Cnidaria; Anthozoa; Malacalcyonacea; Plexauridae
Source: the annotation of a GenBank genome assembly